GUGCUCGCUUCAGCAGCACAUAUACUAAAAUUGGAAUGUUACAGAGGAGAUUAGCAUGGCCCCUGCGCAAGGAUG
This 75-nucleotide small nuclear RNA is filed under the name Ochotona princeps (American pika). The record is from RNAcentral. Lineage: Eukaryota; Metazoa; Chordata; Mammalia; Lagomorpha; Ochotonidae.